GACGAACGCUGGCGGCGUGCUUAACACAUGCAAGUCGAACGGACAGGCCCUGCUCUUGCUGGUCGCUCGAGUGGCGCGCACGUGUGUAUCACGUGAGUAUCAUCCCCUUGUCUUUGUGGUAUCUCUACGAAACUGGGGCUCAUACCCCAUAUGAUCUCCUGCUGCGUGUGGGUGAUUGGUGAGUUUCGGCGGUUCGGUAUGGACUCGCGGAUUAUCCGCUUAUUGGUGGGUUAGUGGCUUAACAGGGCUUCGACGGGUAGCCGGCCUGAGAGGGUGACCGGCGACAAUGGGACUGAGAUAAGGCGCAGAAUCAUACGGGAGGCAGCAGGGGGAAAUAUUGCAAAGUGGGCGGAAGCGAGAGGUAGCAACGCCGCGUGCGGGAUGACGGCUUUCGGGGUGUAAACCGCUUUGGAAGGUGACGAAGAGUGAGUGACGGUAAUGGGUAAAGAAGCAACGGCUAACUACGUG
RNAcentral lists this ribosomal RNA (468 nucleotides) under uncultured bacterium. Its description in RNAcentral is "partial 16S ribosomal RNA". It matches the Rfam family "Bacterial small subunit ribosomal RNA", at positions 28 to 507 of the family's 1533-position model. The record is from RNAcentral.